RNAcentral lists this ribosomal RNA (254 nucleotides) under uncultured bacterium. RNAcentral describes it as "partial 16S ribosomal RNA". It matches the Rfam family "Bacterial small subunit ribosomal RNA", at positions 524 to 776 of the family's 1533-position model. The record is from RNAcentral.
UACGGGGGGAGCAAGCGUUGUUCGGAUUUACUGGGCGUAAAGGGCGCGUAGGCGGCCACCGCAAGUCGACUGUGAAAUCUCCGGGCUUAACCCGGAAAGGUCAGCCGAUACUGCGGGGCUAGAGUGCAGAAGGGGCAACUGGAAUUCUCGGUGUAGCGGUGAAAUGCGUAGAUAUCGGGAGGAACACCUGUGGCGAAGGCGGCCCCCUGGUUGGAUACUGACGCUGAUACGCGAAAGCGUGGGGAGCAAACAGG